AAACUCUAGCCCUGGUUUUUACUGCUUCUAUUUCUAUCUUCUCCCUGGCCCAUAGUGCUUUAUUUAUGGAGACUACUAUGCUGGUAGCCCACAGCCUAAGUCUUGCCCAGGUGUUUUCUGAAGAGUUGCCCUCUCUAGAUGUAGAUAGGGAUAGGGGUCUGUAAGAUGAGAAGUCACCAUCUGGAUGUCUUAAAAAAAUAUCAUGAUCUCAGUGAAUGACAAGCUGCUGCCUUUCUGACUGAUGAUAGCAUCUAUGUAUUCAUCAAUGGAGCAUCAAGUGGUGGAGAAGAUGCAGAAGUUCUUCUACGAUCUUGAUGGACAGUUUAGUUUUCUUUCCUCCUUGACCACAUUGCACAACGGGUCCCCUCCUGUGGUGUGAGGCCCAUGAAUCUGGGCCUUGUGCCAAAAAGACGAAAGUAUGAAAAUGAAUAAAAUGUCCUGGAUAAAAUGCUUGGGUCUAGAGAGAGUGAGAAGCGAAGAUGACAGAAAUGCAAGAAGCGGCACAGAGUGGGUGUGUGGGGCUUGGUACACUGCACGGAUGCUUUUGAUGUUGUCACACAGGUAUGUUCCUUGUAUUCCUGAUCUCUCCAAGACCUUUAUCAUGAAGGGGUGUUGUAACUAAACAAGUGAAAGACCUGUAUGACAAGAACUUAAAGUUCCGAAGAAAGAAAUUGAAGAAGAUAUCAGAAAAUGGAAAGAUCUCCCAUGCUCAUGGAUUGAUAGGAUUAACAUAGUAAAAAUGACAAUUUACCAAAGGCAAUGUAUAGAUUAAAUACAAUCCCCAUUAAAAUCCCAACACAAUUCUUCACAGACCUGGAAAGAACAAUACUCAACUUCAUAUGGAAAAACAGAAACCUAGGAUAGCUAAAAGAAUCCUGUACAACAAAGCCACCUCUGGAGGCAUCACCAUCCCUGACAUGAAGCUCUACUAUAGAGCCAUAGUAAUUAAAACAGCUUGGUACUGGCAUAAAAACCAACAUAUGGACUAAUGGAAACGAAUUGAAGACCCCGACAUUAACUCACACACCUAUGAACACCCGAUUUUUGACAAGGAAGCCAAAACUGUACAAUGGAAAAAAGAAAGCAUCUUCAACAAAUGGUGCUGGCAUAACUGGAUGUCAACAUGUAGAAGAUUGCAAAUAGAUCCAUAUCUUUCACCAUGCACAAAACUCAAAUCCAAGUGGAUCAAAGACCUCAAUAUAAAACCAAUUACACUGAAUCUGAUAGAAGAGAAAGUAGGAGGUAGUCUUGAAUGCAUUGGCACAGGAGACCAGGUCCUAAAUAUAAUACCAGUAGCACAGACACUGAGAGCAACAAUUAAUAAAUGGGACCUUCUAAAACUGAGAAGCUUCUGUAAAGCAAAGGACACAGUAAACAAGACAAAAUGACAGCCUACAGAAUGGGAAAAGAUUUUCACCAACCCCACAUCUAACAGAGGGCUGGUAUCCAGAAUAUAUAAAGAACUCAAUAAACUAGACAUCAAAAUAAUGAACAAUUCAAUUUAAAAAUGGGUUACAGAACUAAACUGAGAAUUCUCAAAGGAAGAAUUUCAAAUGGCUGAAAGACAUUUAAAGAAUUGCUCAGCAUCUUUAAUCAUCAGGGAGAUGCAAAUCAAAAUGACUCUGAGAUACUGUCUUACACCUGUCAGAAUGGCUAAGAUCAAAAGCACUGCAGACAGUUUAUGUUGGAGAGGAUGUGGAGCAAGGGAAACACUCCUCCACUGUUAAUGGGGCUGAAAACUUGUAUGGCCACUUUGAAAAUCAGUGUGAAGGUUUCUCAGAAAAUUGGAAAUCAAUCUUCCUGAAGACCCAGCUAUACCACUCUUGGGCAUAUACUCAAUCAUACCACAGGAACACAUGCUCAACUAUGUUCAUAUCAGCAUUAUUCAACUCACUGAACCUGGAAACAACCUAGAUGGCCCUCAACUGAAGAAUGGAUUAAGAAAAUGUGGUACAUAUACACAAUGGAGUACUACUCAGCAGAGAAAAACAAUGACAUCAUGAAAUUUGCAGGCAAAUGAAUGGAACUAGAAAAUAUCAUCCUGAGUGAGGUAACCCAGACUCAGAAAGACAAACAUGGUAUGUAUCCACUCAUAAGUGGAUACUAGAUGUAAAGCAAAGGAUAACCAGACAACAACCCACAACUCCAGAGAAGCUAGCUAACAAAGAAGACCCAAAGAGGGAUGGAUAGAUCACCCUGGGAAGAGGAAAUAGAUGAGAUCCCCAUGAGUACACUGGGAAUGAGGGGUGGGCAAUGGAGGAUAGGCGAUAGGGGAUGAGAACAUAAGGGAAUGGGAUAGUCAAGCUGGAACAGGGAUGGAGUGGGAAAGCAAUGAAAGAGAUACCAUGAUAGAGGGAGAUAUCAUGGGGAUAGAGAGAAACCCUAUGCUCGGGAAGUUGCCAGGAAUCCCCAAGGAUGACCCCAGCUUGUACUACGAGAAAUAGUGGAGAGGGUGCCUGAACUGAACUGGCUUACCCCAGUGAUCAGACCAGUGAAUACUCUAACUGUAAUCACAGAGCUUUUCUCCAAUGACUGAUGGAAGCAGAUGCAGAGAUCCACAGUCAAACAUCCAGCAGAGCUCUAGGAGUCCAGUCAAAGAGAGAGAAGAGGGAUUCUAUGAGCAAGUGCAUCAAGAUCAUGAUGGGGAAACCUGCAGAGAUGACCAAACCAAGCUAGUGGGAACUCAUGAAAGUUGGAUCAACAACUGUGGAGGCCUCAUGGGACUGGACUAGGUCCUUUGCAUGGUGAGACAGUUGUAUAGCUUGGUCUGCUUGGGGGGCCCCCUGGCAGUAGGAUCAGAAUCCAUCCCUGAUGCAUGAGCGGGCUUUUUGGACCCACUACCUAUGAUGGGACACCUGGUGCAGCCUUGAUGCAGGGGGAAGGGCUUGGACUUGCCUCUACUGGAAGUGCCUCUGCAUGAGAGGCCUUG
Peromyscus californicus insignis is the source of this 2929-nucleotide long non-coding RNA. RefSeq lists it as uncharacterized. The transcript is spliced from 3 exons. NCBI's taxonomy places the organism in Eukaryota, Metazoa, Chordata, Mammalia, Rodentia, Cricetidae. The record is from RefSeq and is a predicted model, not a curated record.